GAUCCUGGCUCAGGACGAACGCUGGCGGCGCGCCUAACACAUGCAAGUCGAACGAGCGAGAGAGAGCUUGCUUUCUCGAGCGAGUGGCGAACGGGUGAGUAACGCGUGAGGAACCUGCCUCAAAGAGGGGGACAACAGUUGGAAACGACUGCUAAUACCGCAUAAGCCCACGGUGCCGCAUGGCACAGAGGGAAAAGGAGCAAUCCACUUUGAGAUGGCCCCCUGCGUCCGAUUAG
Molecule: ribosomal RNA, 236 nt
Filed under: uncultured bacterium
Lineage: Bacteria
Description: partial 16S ribosomal RNA
Rfam family: Bacterial small subunit ribosomal RNA
Source: RNAcentral